RNAcentral lists this microRNA (22 nucleotides) under Lottia gigantea (owl limpet). RNAcentral describes it as "lgi-miR-242b". Its record names the gene lgi-miR-242b. The record is from miRBase by way of RNAcentral. Lineage: Eukaryota; Metazoa; Mollusca; Gastropoda; Lottiidae.
UUGCGUAGGCAUUGUGCACAGU